GACGAACGCUGGCGGCGUGCUUAACACAUGCAAGUCGAACGGAAAGGCCCUGCUUUUGUGGGGUGCUCGAGUGGCGAACGGGUGAGUAACACGUGGGUAACCUGCCCUUGACUUUGGGAUAACUUCAGGAAACUGGGGCUAAUACCGGAUAGGAGCUCCUGCUGCAUGGUGGGGGUUGGAAAGUUUCGGCGGUUGGGGAUGGACUCGCGGCUUAUCAGCUUGUUGGUGGGGUAGUGGCUUACCAAGGCUUUGACGGGUAGCCGGCCUGAGAGGGUGACCGGCCACAUGGGGACUGAGAUACGGCCCAGACUCCUACGGGAGGCAGCAGUGGGGAAUAUUGCACAAUGGGCGGAAGCCUGAUGCAGAAACGCCGCGUGCGGGAUGACGGCCUUCGGGUUGUAAACCGCUUUCGCCUGUGACGAAGCGUGAGUGACGGUAAUGGGUAAAGAAGCACCGGCUAACUACGUG
RNAcentral lists this ribosomal RNA (468 nucleotides) under uncultured bacterium. Its description in RNAcentral is "partial 16S ribosomal RNA". It matches the Rfam family "Bacterial small subunit ribosomal RNA", at positions 28 to 507 of the family's 1533-position model. The record is from RNAcentral.